AGAACGAACGCUGGCGGCAUGCCUAAUACAUGCAAGUCGAACGAACACUUCGGUGUUAGUGGCGCACGGGUGCGUAACGCGUGGGAAUCUGCCCUUGGGUUCGGAAUAACAGUUGGAAACGACUGCUAAUACCGGAUGAUAUCGAAAGAUCAAAGAUUUAUCGCCCAGGGAUGAGCCCGCGUAGGAUUAGCUAGUUGGUGAGGUAAAGGCUCACCAAGGCGACGAUCCUUAGCUGGUCUGAGAGGAUGAUCAGCCACACUGGGACUGAGACACGGCCCAGACUCCUACGGGAGGCAGCAGUAGGGAAUAUGGACAAUGGGCGCAAGCCUGAUCCAGCAAUGCCGCGUGAGUGAUGAAGGCCUUAGGGUUGUAAAGCUCUUUACCCGAGAUGAUAAUGACAGUAUCGGGAAGAAGUAACGCCCCGGACUAACUCCGUGCCAGCAGCCGC
Molecule: ribosomal RNA, 448 nt
Filed under: uncultured soil bacterium
Lineage: Bacteria
Description: bacterial SSU rRNA
Rfam family: Bacterial small subunit ribosomal RNA
Source: RNAcentral